UCAGCCGGAGGUAGGGUC
This 18-nucleotide small nuclear RNA is filed under the name Arabidopsis thaliana (thale cress). RNAcentral describes it as "snRNA_08856". Lineage: Eukaryota; Viridiplantae; Streptophyta; Magnoliopsida; Brassicales; Brassicaceae. The record is from RNAcentral.